CAAGUCAUCAUGGCCCUUACGACCAGGGCUACACACGUGCUACAAUGGCGCAUACAAAGAGAAGCGACCUCGCGAGAGCAAGCGGACCUCAUAAAGUGCGUCGUAGUCCGGAUUGGAGUCUGCAACUCGACUCCAUGAAGUCGGAAUCGCUAGUAAUCGUGGAUCAGAAUGCCACGGUGAAUACGUUCCCGGGCCUUGUACACACCGCCCGUCACACCAUGGGAGUGGGUUGCAAAAGAAGUAGGUAGCUUAACCUUCGGGAGGGCGCUUACCACUUUGUGAUUCAUGACUGGGGUGAAGUCGUAACAAGGUAACCGUAGGGGAACCUGCGGUUGGAUCACCUCCUUACCUUAAAGAAGC
This 360-nucleotide ribosomal RNA is filed under the name Escherichia coli. RNAcentral's name for it is "bacterial SSU rRNA". It matches the Rfam family "Bacterial small subunit ribosomal RNA", at positions 1186 to 1533 of the family's 1533-position model. The record is from RNAcentral. Lineage: Bacteria; Pseudomonadati; Pseudomonadota; Gammaproteobacteria; Enterobacterales; Enterobacteriaceae.